This 920-nucleotide long non-coding RNA is filed under the name Ursus maritimus (polar bear). Its description in RNAcentral is "lncRNA (ENSUMAG00000013054.1)". Lineage: Eukaryota; Metazoa; Chordata; Mammalia; Carnivora; Ursidae. The record is from RNAcentral.
AUAAAUCAAGAUGAAAAUUAAUCAAGAGCUCAAGAUGACAUCAGUCCCAUUCGUCUAAGUCCUGGUGUCGUGUGGAUGGAGAGCAGCAGCCGGUUAUGACAAAGGUGAUACGAAAUUUUUCUGCACUUGAUCUCAACCAAAAGGCUGAGAAGCAAUCCAGAGAUCUUUCUGGACUCUUUAUAUGUUCACUGUGGAGGUCAAAGAUGGCCACAUAACAGAAGAGUUAUUCCAUGUUCAGUUGUGCGUACUGCACACUCAGAAGUUGCCAUUCAAAUCACAGUCCAGGCCAGGGGUACCUCUGGAUUCCUAACAUGCUCAAAAUAGAGGUGGGCACUGGUUCCUCGCUGGCCAGGAUGUGCUGGAGGCAGAGAGGUCUCGGAUGUCAUCGCUUACUGGUAGUGGUCCUCCUUUCGCGCACGCGACCGCAGGUUUCUAUCUGCUCCGUCGGGCAUCAUCGCAUUACCUCAGACUGCACUGGCUCUGCCUCUCCUGCCGAGCGAAGGCUUCUAACCUUCCUUCCACGAUUUUAAAGGGCUGCCCUGAUGUGAGGGGACGCUCAAGGCCAGUCCGCGCCUGUUUUGUGAGGCCCUUCUUUCUCAUGCUGGGACAAAGCCACGAGGGAAUCAACCUCCCCUCUCCUGAGACUCNNNNNNNNNNNNNNNNNNNNNCAGGAUCCAGGACCCUCCCUCAGUACACUUGUAGCACCGCGCCACAGCUUCCACUUUUCACAGAUUCUGGUCUUGGCUGAGAGGUGAAGAGUGUCCCAUUGGCUGGAGGAGUGGAGUUCCACUUCAGAAAAAGAGCUCUCAUCUUGCAAGUUAACACAGAAACCCAUUUUAGUGGAUUGAGUAAGAUUACUGCUGCCAUUAUUUUUAGAAAAAGGAAAUAAACCCCAAGACGACUAAUUCUUGAGGUGGUAA